RNAcentral lists this ribosomal RNA (329 nucleotides) under uncultured eukaryote. RNAcentral describes it as "partial 18S ribosomal RNA". It matches the Rfam family "Eukaryotic small subunit ribosomal RNA", at positions 1470 to 1796 of the family's 1831-position model. The record is from RNAcentral.
CCCUUAGAUGUUCUGGGCCGCACGCGCGCUACACUGACGAUGGCAACGAGUUUUUCCUUCGCCGAAAGGUGUGGGUGAUCUUUUGAAACAUCGUCGUGCUGGGGAUAGAUCAUUGCAAUUUUUGAUCUUGAACGAGGAAUUCCUAGUAAGCGCGAGUCAUCAGCUCGCGUUGAUUACGUCCCUGCCCUUUGUACACACCGCCCGUCGCUACUACCGAUUGAAUGGUUUAGUGAGGACUCCUGAUUGGCGCCGCCGCCCCGGCAACGGAGCAGCGGACUGCCGAAAAGUUGUUCAAACUUGAUCAUUUAGAGGAAGUAAAAGUCGUAACA